AAAAAAUUUGUCAAAACUACACGGUACGAAGUAGAGCACCAGAUAAAAGAGUGGCUACGCCAUGCGAGGGACAGGGCAGAAAGAGCAAGUGUUCCUAGAAGGGUCCAGGCACAAUCAACAGCAUGAAUGCAGAUCUCUCCCAAGUUGUAAGAGUGCUCGACGGCCCACUAUGUCUCACGCCACCAGAGUUUGUUUUAGUUGUGUUUUUUUAGUUUUUGCUGCUGAAUGCGAAAGUUCUUGAGAGUGCUCGAGGCAUAUGCUAUAUAUCAGGGUGCAGCGCUAGUUUUUUUUUUUUCUUCUGUCAACUUAAGAAAGUUUUGAAACGUGCUCCAGCCUCACAUUGUCUUACCGGUUUCAUAUUUGUACUGCUCAGCCUGAGAAAAGUUUUUAAGUGUGCUCGAUGGCCCACCAUAUCUCACACCAUCAGAGUUUUAUUUGUGUUUUUUAGUUUGUGCUGCCCA
This is a long non-coding RNA of Ornithodoros turicata, 461 nucleotides long. RefSeq lists it as uncharacterized. The transcript has 5 exons. NCBI's taxonomy places the organism in Eukaryota, Metazoa, Arthropoda, Arachnida, Ixodida, Argasidae. The record is from RefSeq and is a predicted model, not a curated record.